UAAUGUCUGGGAAACUGCCUGAUGGAGGGGGGUAACUACUGGAAACGGUAGCUAAUACCGCAUAACGUCGCAAGACCGAAGUGGGGGACCUUCGGGCCUCAUGCCAUCAGAUGUGCCCAGAUGGGAUUAGCUAGUAGGUGGGGUAAUGGCUCACCUAGGCGACGAUCCCUAGCUGGUCUGAGAGGAUGACCAGCCACACUGGAACUGAGACACGGCCAG
This 219-nucleotide ribosomal RNA is filed under the name uncultured bacterium. Its description in RNAcentral is "partial 16S ribosomal RNA". It matches the Rfam family "Bacterial small subunit ribosomal RNA", at positions 111 to 334 of the family's 1533-position model. The record is from RNAcentral.